This 88-nucleotide unclassified non-coding RNA is filed under the name Pseudomonas moraviensis. Lineage: Bacteria; Pseudomonadati; Pseudomonadota; Gammaproteobacteria; Pseudomonadales; Pseudomonadaceae. The record is from RNAcentral.
GUAGGAGUGAGCCUGCUCGCGAUUGCGGUAUGUCUGUCGACAUCCAUGUUUAAUCCGAAAUAGCAAUCGCGAGCAGGCUCACUCCUAC